RNAcentral lists this ribosomal RNA (772 nucleotides) under uncultured bacterium. Its description in RNAcentral is "bacterial SSU rRNA". It matches the Rfam family "Bacterial small subunit ribosomal RNA", at positions 94 to 882 of the family's 1533-position model. The record is from RNAcentral.
AGUGGCGAACGGGUGAGUAACGCGUGAGGAACCUGCCUCAAAGAGGGGGACAACAGUUGGAAACGACUGCUAAUACCGCAUAAGCCCACAGGUCGGCAUCGACCAGAGGGAAAAGGAGCAAUCCGCUUUGAGAUGGCCUCGCGUCCGAUUAGCUAGUUGGUGAGGUAACGGCCCACCAAGGCAACGAUCGGUAGCCGGACUGAGAGGUUGAACGGCCACAUUGGGACUGAGACACGGCCCAGACUCCUACGGGAGGCAGCAGUGGGGAAUAUUGCACAAUGGGGGAAACCCUGAUGCAGCGACGCCGCGUGGAGGAAGAAGGUCUUCGGAUUGUAAACUCCUGUUGUUGAGGAAGAUAAUGACGGUACUCAACAAGGAAGUGACGGCUAACUACGUGCCAGCAGCCGCGGUAAAACGUAGGUCACAAGCGUUGUCCGGAAUUACUGGGUGUAAAGGGAGCGCAGGCGGGAAGACAAGUUGGAAGUGAAAUCUAUGGGCUCAACCCAUAAACUGCUUUCAAAACUGUUUUUCUUGAGUAGUGCAGAGGUAGGCGGAAUUCCCGGUGUAGCGGUGGAAUGCGUAGAUAUCGGGAGGAACACCAGUGGCGAAGGCGGCCUACUGGGCACCAACUGACGCUGAGGCUCGAAAGUGUGGGUAGCAAACAGGAUUAGAUACCCUGGUAGUCCACACCGUAAACGAUGAUUACUAGGUGUUGGAGGAUUGACCCCUUCAGUGCCGCAGUUAACACAAUAAGUAAUCCACCUGGGGAGUA